Molecule: RNA transcript, 3133 nt
Organism: Dioscorea cayenensis subsp. rotundata (Guinea yam)
Lineage: Eukaryota; Viridiplantae; Streptophyta; Magnoliopsida; Dioscoreales; Dioscoreaceae
Gene name: conserved oligomeric Golgi complex subunit 5
Exons: 4
Source: RefSeq, a predicted model, not a curated record
UCCUUUUCAGUUUUUCAUUUCCUCUCUGAGUCUCGCGCUUGGAGAUCUGAAGCUCACCAUCAAUGGCGUCUCCCCGGAUCCUCCCUUCUUCUCCGCUUCAGAAGCUCGCCACCUUCAAAGACCCCGCCCCGAUUCCUCCGAUCUCAUCGUCCUCCUCCUCCCCUCUCGACGCCUUCGCCUCCGAUCCCAUCUUCUCCGCCUUCCUCUCUCCGGAUUUUGACUCCGCUCGCUUCUCCUCCCAGGCUCUCAGCUCCGGAUCCGCGGCUGCUCGCGCCGAGUCUCUUCACGAAGCCAUCCGCCUCCUCCAGCGCCAUCUCCGAUCCGAGGUCCUUUCUCGCCACCCCGCCCUCCUCUCCUCCCUCUCCUCCCUUCGCUCCUCCUCCUCUUCGCUUUCCUCCCUCCGAGCCUCACUCCAGGCCCUCCACGCUUCCCUUCACCGUGCCCGCCUCGACCUCGCCUCCCCCCUUCGCCAGGCCCGCCACCAUGCCCUCCAGCUCUCCAACCUUCACUCUGCCGCCGACCUCCUCCACCACUCGGCCCGCCUCCUUCGCCUAUCCUCCCGCCUCCGAUCCCUCCUCUCCCUCCCCUCCGACCGCCGCGACCCGGCCAAGGCCGCCGAGCUGCACCACGAGAUCUGCCAGCUCUACGACGAGCGGGGCCUCGAAGGCAUCUCCGCCGUCGAGGCCGAGAUGAAGUGGCUCUUGGAGACCGGUGAUCAACUCCGCUCCGAGGCCAUGAGAGCUGUUGAGAAGGGGAUGGAUGAAGGCAACCAGAACGAUAUCUGGUGCGGGCUCCAGGUAUUCUUCAACCUCGGUGAGCUAGGUCCUACGGUGGAUGCCCUGUUGAACAAGUACAAAGGAAUUGGGGUGAAGAGUGUUGGUGCGGCGCUUGAUAUGAAAGCUAUAUCUGCAGCAUCAUCAGCUGGGAUUGGGGGCCCGGGUGGCAUUCAGAGGAGCGGAACGCCACAGAUAGGCGGCCGGAGGAGGGCCGGAGAGGCACUUUGGGAGAGGAUGGGAAGGUGCAUGGAUGAGUUGCACAAGGUUGUCACUGCAGUUUGGCAGCUUCAGACUGUUCUAUCAAAGAAGAGGGUGCCAUUCACGCAGGUCUUGUUCCUUCAUGAAGUCUGGCAGGAAGGUGAUCCACUGCUCACUGAUCGCGUCUGGGAGGCACUUGUGAAAUCUUUUGCUAGCCAAAUGAAAGCCGCCUUCACUACGUCAAGCUUUGUUAAGGAGAUUUUUACUCAUGGAUACCCGAAGCUCUUCUCUACGGUAGAGAAUCUUCUUGAAAGGAUUUCACGUGAUACUGAAGUAAAAGGGGUUCUUCCGGCCCUGACCCCUGAAGGGAAAGAUCAAUUGGUUAUGGCCAUUGAUAUGUUUCAGACAGCCUUUCUGGGAGCCUGCUUAAGUCGUCUAUCAGAUUAUGUUAAUUCCAUAUUUACUGUCUCUGGCAGGGGAAGUAUCCCUUCUAAAGAUCAGAUUUCAAGAGUUAUAUUGCGCAUACAGGAGGAAAUCGAGGCUGUUAAACUGCAUGGGCAUUUGAUGCUUCUCGUCUUACGUGAAAUUGGCAAAGUCUUGAUUUUGCUAGCUGAAAGAGCUGAAUACCAGAUAUCCACUGGUCCUGAAGCUCGUCAAGUCACAGGUCCUGCUACUCCAUCUCAACUUAAGAACUUUGCGCUGUGCCAACACCUUCAAGAAAUUCAUGCACGCAUAUCUAGUGCAAUUAUAUCUCUACCACCAGUAGCAGCUGAAAUCCUAUCUCCUUCUCUUGGUGUCAUCUAUGGAGUUGCCUGUGACUCGGUGACUUCCCUUUUCCAAGCUAUGCUUGAUCGCCUUGAGGCUUGUAUUUUACAAAUCCAUGACCAGGACUUUGGAACCCAUGGAAUGGAUUCUGCAGUUGACAAUAAUGCAUCUGUUUACAUGGAGGAGUUUCAAAAAUUUACAGUUCACUUCAGAACUGAAUUCCUGUCUAAGCUUUUGCCCUCAUCUGCUUCUCGGUCAGAGACCAUAUGCACAAGACUAGUUCAGAGAAUGGCUUCUCGGGUCUUGAUUUUCUUCAUUCGGCAUGCCUCUCUUGUUAGGCCACUUUCAGAGUCUGGCAAGCUGAGGAUGGCAAGGGACAUGGCUGAGUUGGAGCUUGCUGUUGGCCAGAAUUUAUUUCCUGUUGAGCAGCUUGGUGCACCAUACCGAGCACUUCGUGCUUUCCGACCUGUUAUAUUCUUGGAAACAUCUCAACUUGGAGGAUCUCCACUCAUUCAAGAUCUGCCACCAAGUGUGAUUCUUCACCACCUUUAUUCUCGGGGUCCUGAUGAGUUGCAAUCACCACUUCAAAGGAACAAGCUCACACCUCUUCAGUAUUCCUUGUGGCUUGACUCACAAGGCGAGGAUCAGAUCUGGAAAGGAAUUAAAGCUACUCUUGAUGACUAUGUGAUGCAAGUUAGGACUAGAGGAGAUAAGGAGUACAGUGCGGUGUAUCCUCUCAUGCUUCAGAUCGGAUCAUCACUGUCUGAUACAAGUUCAUCUCAAUAAUCUUAUGCUGUGCCAACUUUUGAUUCACCAAGGAAUUUGCAUUGUUCUCAAUGGAUUUCUUGUCUUACCAGUGGAAGUUUUGCUAAGUGGCGUUUACCAUCAGAAGCAAACUGUGAAAUUCCAUUCCUUCUUUGCAAAAAAGAUGCACAUGUUACAUUCAACCAUGAAUAAUAUGGCAGCAUACUAUAUUUGCGGUAACUUUUGUUCUUAAUUACACCUGCUAUAAUAGCCUUGAUGAUUUCCAUAGCACAAAUCAACCAUGAGGAGGAUUGGGAUCAAGGAGGAAUGAGUUAUUAUUCAGCUUAUUUGUGGUUCUUGUUUCGAUAAUAAACUAGUAUUUCCCUGGUAGUGAUGCCUUAUUCCAGAAUAAGCUUAAGGCAGUGUUUGGCAACCAUUUAUUUAAUCCCAGAGUACUGUAAAUUUUGGGAUUCUAUUCAAAAUUAUUCUCAAGUUAUUUCAUUGUACAUUUAUUUCAAUUUGGUGUUAGAGAUGUAAGAAGGUGUCACUUACUCUACUUGUCAACUGUAAGAUUUUGGUUAGAUAAAUGAAACCAUGAAACAACGUUUUACAGUGUAUUAAUCCAAACAUUCUUUAACUUCAAAUUGUUA